UGGGGAAUAUUGCACAAUGGGCGAAAGCCUGAUGCAGCAACGCCGCGUGAGGGAUGACGGUUUUCGGAUUGUAAACCUCUGUCUUCAGUGACGAAUAAAUGACGGUAACUGAGGAGGAAGCCACGGCUAACUACGUGCCAGCAGCCGCGGUAAUACGUAGGUGGCGAGCGUUGUCCGGAAUUACUGGGUGUAAAGGGAGCGCAGGCGGGACAUCAAGUUGGAUGUGAAAUACCGAAGCUUAACUUCGGAGCUGCAUCCAAAACUGUUGUUCUUGAGUGGAGUAGAGGCAAGCGGAAUUCCGAGUGUAGCGGUGAAAUGCGUAGAUAUUCGGAGGAACACCAGUGGCGAAGGCGGCUUGCUGGGCUCUAACUGACGCUGAGGCUCGAAAGUGUGGGGAGCAAACAGG
This 406-nucleotide ribosomal RNA is filed under the name uncultured prokaryote. RNAcentral describes it as "bacterial SSU rRNA". It matches the Rfam family "Bacterial small subunit ribosomal RNA", at positions 355 to 776 of the family's 1533-position model. RNAcentral also lists the same sequence under 1 other name. The record is from RNAcentral.